This 253-nucleotide ribosomal RNA is filed under the name uncultured bacterium. RNAcentral's name for it is "partial 16S ribosomal RNA". It matches the Rfam family "Bacterial small subunit ribosomal RNA", at positions 524 to 776 of the family's 1533-position model. The record is from RNAcentral.
UACGGAGGAUCCAAGCGUUAUCCGGAUUUAUUGGGUUUAAAGGGUGCGUAGGCGGACCUUUAAGUCAGCGGUGAAAGUUCCCGGCUCAACCGGGGAAUUGCCGUUGAAACUAUUGGUCUUGAGUGUAGAUGAGGUGGGCGGAAUUCGUAGUGUAGCGGUGAAAUGCUUAGAUAUUACGAAGAACUCCAAUUGCGUAGGCAGCUCACUAGGCUACAACUGACGCUGAGGCACGAAGGUGCGGGGAUCAAACAGG